This 170-nucleotide small RNA is filed under the name Pseudomonas caspiana. RNAcentral describes it as "Manganese sequence". It matches the Rfam family "Manganese Mn2+ riboswitch aptamer (yybP-ykoY)". Rfam says of the family: This RNA was originally discovered in E. coli during a large scale screen and was named SraF. Lineage: Bacteria; Pseudomonadati; Pseudomonadota; Gammaproteobacteria; Pseudomonadales; Pseudomonadaceae. The record is from RNAcentral.
CCCACCUUCGUUGGGGAGUAGCCUGCUGCUGAGUGACAUCAGCAGCGUUCGUAUCAACAUUCUCGGCAGCAGCCGUGGUACGAGCACCUUUUGGUUGGCGAGACCAGCGACAUAUCCAUGCCUAAAGUCGGGCGUGUGGAUGUGUCGUUGACUCAUAGCCCGACUGGAAG